RNAcentral lists this long non-coding RNA (454 nucleotides) under Homo sapiens (human). RNAcentral describes it as "HSALNT0341235". Lineage: Eukaryota; Metazoa; Chordata; Mammalia; Primates; Hominidae. The record is from RNAcentral.
CUCCUGCAUAGGCCCUGCCCACAGGGAUGAUUGUGAAAGAUUGCUGAUCCCAGCCCCCUACGUGAUGUGACUCUUCUCUUCUGCCUGGGUCUUAUUUUCUAAGCACAUUGUGACAUAAUGCUGAGCUGACAAUCAGGUUCCGUGACUCUCCUGUCUGUGCCCUGCCUACAUGGAUUAUUGUGACAUAUUGCUGGGUCCAACACCCAGGUUCUGCCUGUAGAAAAGAUUGUAACAUAAUGCUGGGCCCAACUUCAAGGUGGCAUUACUUUUUUGACUUGGCCUUGCUCUCAGAAGACAUUAUAACAUACUGCUGGGCCCAGAACCAAGGUGAUGUUAAGUCUUCUGACUAAAACCUACCCACAGAAGACAUUGUGACAUAUCUCUGGGCCCAUCAACUAUUUGAUGUGACUCUACUCUUAUCUGAGUUUUUUUAAUAAAAGAGAUUUUGACAUAU